UACGUAUGGUGCAAGCGUUAUCCGGAUCUACUGGGUGUAAAGGGAGCGUAGGCGGCGCGUUAAGUCUGAUGUGAAAACCCGAGGCUCAACCACGGGAGUGCAUUGGAAACUGGCGGGCUGGAGUGCCGGAGAGGUAAGCGGAAUUCCUAGUGUAGCGGUGAAAUGCGUAGAUAUUAGGAGGAACACCAGUGGCGAAGGCGGCUUACUGGACGGCAACUGACGCUGAGGCCCGGAAGCGUGGGGAGCAAACAGG
RNAcentral lists this ribosomal RNA (253 nucleotides) under uncultured bacterium. RNAcentral's name for it is "partial 16S ribosomal RNA". It matches the Rfam family "Bacterial small subunit ribosomal RNA", at positions 524 to 776 of the family's 1533-position model. The record is from RNAcentral.